GACGAACGCUGGCGGCGUGCUUAACACAUGCAAGUCGAACGGAAAGGCCCUGCUUUUGUGGGGUGCUCGAGUGGCGAACGGGUGAGUAACACGUGAGUAACCUGUCCUUGACUUUGGGAUAACUUCAGGAAACUGGGGCUAAUACCGGAUAGGAGCUCCUGCUGCAUGGUGGGGGUUGGAAAGUUUCGGCGGUUGGGGAUGGACUCGCGGCUUAUCAGCUUGUUGGUGGGGUAGUGGCUUACCAAGGCUUUGACGGGUAGCCGGCCUGAGAGGGUGACCGGCCACAUUGGGACUGAGAUACGGCCCAGACUCCUACGGGGGGCAGCAGUGGGGAAUAUUGCACAAUGGGCGGAAGCCUGAUGCAGCAACGCCGCGUGCGGGAUGACGGCCUUCGGGUUGUAAACCGCUUUCGCCUGUGACGAAGCGUGAGUGACGGUAAUGGGUAAAGAAGCACCGGCUAACUACGUG
Molecule: ribosomal RNA, 468 nt
Filed under: uncultured bacterium
Lineage: Bacteria
Description: partial 16S ribosomal RNA
Rfam family: Bacterial small subunit ribosomal RNA
Source: RNAcentral